Molecule: long non-coding RNA, 2062 nt
Filed under: Heterocephalus glaber (naked mole-rat)
Lineage: Eukaryota; Metazoa; Chordata; Mammalia; Rodentia; Bathyergidae
Description: lncRNA (ENSHGLG00000042276.1)
Source: RNAcentral
GUACAGUAAACCGUGACUUUCUCCUGUAGCUUCAUUGUGGAAACAUUUCUUCCUAGUGGCUUUCUGAAAAUUAACACAAGAUUUAUUUUUGUGAAAAAUAAGACAUAUGUAUUUUUAUUUUAUUAUUUGGCUUUUUGCCAUUUGUAUUUAUUUCAUUCAGUUUUGCUGAAAUUUUUCUCUUUUAUUGAUGGGAAGCUAAGUAAGGCAUCAGUUUGGUUUUCUAGAGUGGUCCUACAAGCUGGGAUGUAAUUUGGGAGGCCUCUUUGCCUUUGGGAGCGUGUGAAUACAUGUUUCUGUGAGGUCACCAGAAGCUCAAGAGGCCUAGGUCAAAGGGCCUCUCCUCUCUGAGGGAGCUACCAUCAAGCGCCACGAGAUGACAGGACAUCCUGGUGGCCAGGGUCAUCCACGGAGGGCUGCUAGAGGGGAGUGGUAAGCUGCAGCAGCGGGGUAUAGGUGUGACCAGAGAAACAAGAAAGCUUGGUUGUGGGGCCCCUUUCCUGAGGACCCUCUUUCCUGACUUGGGUUGGGGCUCUCCUAAGUUCUUCUUUUUGGUUAAAACAGUAAAGGGAGGAGGAACAAGUGCUGCAGGGAAAGGCUGUGAGAAGAGCAGGCUUGGGGCACUGGCAGGCCAGCUUGGGGCAGGGAAAGUCUGAAGGGUCCUUGAAGUAUCCCGCUAAGGUACGGCAGAGGCAGCUGGGCAGUGGAGACUGGAACUCAGGGAAGAGUUUCAGACUAGAGAUAAAGACUGCAGAAUCACUAUUAUCUGUGCUGUUAUCCUGUUUACACAGGGUGAACUGAGUAUAAAGGUCGGGGGACAAGAGAGAAAUGGACACACGCUAAAACUAUGUGAGAGUGUGGGGGGUGUUAACCCAGGGAGACAGCCAAACAGUUUUCUUCUUUACAUUAAAGCUGAACUUAAAAACUUAACAAGCAUAAUCGCCAAACUUCCACCACAGUGUUAUAGGUGACUUCAGCAAGCACUGCAGGUAAUGUGGUGUCCAUCGGAGCUCCACUGCUGUGUGGAGUAGAAUCACCCACCUCCCAGGAUAACUGCUGUGCACAGAGUGUGGUAGGAACUGGUUUCUUUUCUCUAAAUUCCUGGAGGCAGCCGUAGACCUGCAGCAGAAGAAGGGUGGGAGAACUGACGUUGGUAAUGUGCCUACUGACAUUCUGGAUUAAGGCUCCCAGAGGGAAGAGGCAGCCUGGGCAGCUGCCAACACUACAACAUGGCACUGUUGGCCUUUAGUACGGUGUGUGUCUUUAGAGGCUGAGGAGGAAUGAAUUCCAGUUUGGUCUUCAGAGACGGUCUCACUAUGUAGCCCAGGCUGGCAUCGAAAUCAGUGAUCCUCCUGCCUCAGCCUCCCAAAUGCUGGAAUUACAGCCAUGCACCACUACACCAAGCCUCAUAUUUCAGGAAUUAAGCCUCUUCCAGAUGAAGAAAUAAGGUCCAUGGGGCCAGCUCAGCCCAGCCUUUUCCAUCCAGUUCUGUGAUGCUGCUGCUUCCAGCUCUACUAGCCACCAGCACUCAAGUUUACCUGAAAGUGCUCAAGGCUCACAGGGCAACAGCAGCUGCCCACUGGCCACAAAGGGGUUGACACCCUUCCCAGUGGUAACAGAUGUGCAGUUCUCAGUUGGUGGCAGAGCAGCAAACUCUUGGACGAAGGCCCAUCUCUUCCUCCUGUCUUCUCAAAAAGACACGCAGACCUCUUAUCACCUUAUCUACAGCUCAAGGCCUUUCUGGUACACUGUCCUGCUGGAAGCACAACCAUAAACAUCAUCCUAAACAGUGCAAGUGCUCCAGAAGGCUUGCAGGCUGCUAAAGGAGAAAAGAAUUUCGUUAAUGCCUCCUGCUGCCCCAGACCCGCUGCCAGGCCCUAUAAGAACCCCAGUCUCAGCCUGACUGCACGGCCCCUUGGCAGUGCACCUGGCCCAAAUAUACUCUUGUCUUUGCUACAUUCCUUGUCUCUUGGUAAAUUCUUUUACCAGCCCUGCCUUACUGGCCCUCUCCCCUCUCAGGGCAGGCAAUACCCAUAACGAAAUUAAAGUCCCUGUCUUAGCUGAC